AUGGUUGCUCAGCAGCAGCAGCCCCCACAAUCUCCACAGUGCCCGGGAGCCAUGCAGGCAGCCCGGCACGGGAGCAGGGAGCAGGGCAGCUCUCCUUUCCUUUGCGGGUGGCUCAGUCCCGCCCGGCUCCGCUGCCCUGCUCCCGCAUCCCUCCCCUGCCGCGAGCUCUUCCUCCGGCCGCUCUGCCCGCCUGCGAGGCUGCUUGCCGAAAAUAACCUUCAAAAGGAUAGAUUAAUCCCACGGAGCGGGGUGGGAGCAACUCAAAGUGCUCCGGAGCCACUAAUGUCCUGCGCGCAUCGUGCCGGGGAGGAGCAGGAGGAGCUGCAGCCCGAGCCGAGGGCAGGGGCGACCGGUCCCCGAGCGCUCGGGGAUGCGGAGCUGCUGUACCCGCUCCGUACGGGGCAUGUGAAUUGCAGGCACCACCGUCGCCGCCGCCCCCCGCCGCCCCCCCGAGCUCCCAGAAAAUCCCGGCGGCACCCGGGCACCGCAGCUGCAGCCCGGCUUCCAGCAUCGCUCCGAGCGCACCAGCCAUGGAGCCGGCAGCGUGCCGAGGGGAAAUGCCGCCUCUCCGCUGUCUGCGAGCUGUCCCGGCCCAGCGGUACCACCGAGAGGGGCAGAGCCCGCAAUGCUAACUUCUGUCUCGCCGCUCUCGGGCUCCUGAGGGGCUUCUCUACAGUGAAACGCUCAGAGCAGUUCACUGCUCCAUCCCGGGCUGCUUGGGCUGCCAUCGUCCAGCUUCCACCUCUUCUGCCUCGCGAGCUCCCGGGACCUCCGCCGGCUCCCAGGCACCGCGGCUCCCGGCAUGGAGCCAGCGGGGACCCCGGCCAAGCGGCUCCUCGGGACCAAGGGUUCAUCUUGACUUGCAGGUCAAACUCGUUCUCCUCCAUAUUCGCUCUUUCCUUCUCUCCUUCUCCGCCUCCUCGGCUUUUUGGUGCUGUUCAAUCUCGAAUGACAAUUUUAAAACCAACCCACAGAGGAAACUGUGUGAAGGAGACAUUUUCAAGAAAUUAUAUCAUAAAACAAAAUUGA
Molecule: long non-coding RNA, 1029 nt
Filed under: Parus major (Great Tit)
Lineage: Eukaryota; Metazoa; Chordata; Aves; Passeriformes; Paridae
Description: lncRNA (ENSPMJG00000013351.1)
Source: RNAcentral